Alligator mississippiensis (American alligator) is the source of this 5353-nucleotide long non-coding RNA. RefSeq lists it as uncharacterized. The transcript is spliced from 2 exons. Lineage: Eukaryota; Metazoa; Chordata; Crocodylia; Alligatoridae. The record is from RefSeq and is a predicted model, not a curated record.
UGUGAUGUCACUUCCCCUUUCCCCGCGGGCGGGGGAGUGGCCAGGUACGGUGGCCGGCGAGGGUCGGUAGAUGUCCGCGUGGGCGCUAGGGGGCGCUGUGUGAUCAGACCAUGCAGAAGGACUUGGACGUGGAGUGACUGCCUGGGCGCUGCCUGCCCAGAUGUGCCGGGCAGCUGGCUUGAACCUCGGGGUGCCCCCCCUGCCCCCUGCUUCCCCAGUGAGCAUCUCUCUGGUGGCUCCUUGUUCCUACCUAAGCGCUGGGUUUUGGCCCAUUUGCUGCCCCAGCUGGAGGGGUUCAUGUGACAACUGCCUGCUUUCCUGGCACUGGUGGUCCUGUGUGAAUGGCAGCUCUCAGCACGGCUGCAGCCAAAAACCCAGCUCCCUUCACGUUCCCUGUCGCUCUGUCAGUGCCUUUCCCUUGCCAGGGUGAUCUGUCGCAGGACUCCUGCAGCCUGGUAUUAUUCCCUCCAACAGUGCCCUCUUUGUGCCAGCCAGAAGCCGGGCUGCGUGCGCUGCCAGGCAGUCCUGCCUUCCUGCCUUGCCUCGGGGGAAUGACUUCAAUGGCAGCACUUCUGUGUCAGAAAGAGCACAGCUGUGGUCCUGGUAAUUAGCUCAGAAAACCAGCCUUGAGUGAAAAAUAAGACGGGGAGAGAAAAAUCUACCCCUUCCAGUGAGGCCCCGAUGGAGUCGGCCCCCUUCCCCCACCCUCCAUCUCCCCUCCGGCAUCAACAAGACUUGAAAAGGAGCAAGCAGCGACUCAUUUAAAAGCCUGAUCCUGCAGGGCCGAGCACCAGAGUUGUGGUUGUUCGUUCUUCCACGAUCGUUGUGUGGGUUUGCAUGCUCUGUGCCUCUACGUACUUGAGAUCUUGAGUUAAGAGUGAGAGAGGGGAAAGAGAUGUAGAGAUGAUGCAUCACAAAAUGUUUCCAUGUGAGGGAUGAAUUGGACUCUUGCGUCUCUUGCUGCAAUCCGCUGACUAGUUUCUGAUCCCCUGGGUCUUGGGCCAUCCAAUCCAAAGAAUGUGAUGGUGUGGAGGCUUUGUCCUCUCAGCUGCGUGUACACACUUUGUUGCAUUCACCCUCCUACACCAGGGAGCCUGUGGGGCUGGGAGCAAGCUGUUUAACCUGCCCUAAGAUGGAACAAGUUCAGAGGCAACAUUUUUGGUUUAGGUGCCGAAAAUAGCAAAGCUACUGUAAGACCAGGCUGGGUGCAAAAGGUGAAGAGGGAGGAAAUGCAUCUUUCUUACCCCUUGAAUGGGCAACAGGGAACCUACGGAUCAAGCUACAGAAUGCUCUACCUGCAUUGUACAUUCAUGUCCAGAUGCUCCCUCAUACACAUCAUUAAGCACACAUCAUAUGCUGGGAAUUUUACUGAGCAAGUUAUAUGUGCUCAUCAGAAUUGCUAGCUCUGCUUGCAGUGAACACCACCACAAAUAAGAGAAACAAGCUAACAAUCUGUAAAAAUACAAUUUAAAAAAAUGAUUCCUUUGUUCCACUAUUUGCAAAGCACUCAAGUGAGCCAGGGCAGACAUGAGUAAACAGACAGUUUGGCAACAGAUCCUGCUGGAUCAGUUUGAGUCAGUCAAACCCAUGGAAGAAAUGGAUUCCAGAGGCAGAGCCUGUCACCCCACUGAUAAGGCCCUGUCCCUCUCCCCACAAGGAAUGUAGAUCUGGGGACUUGUGACUAAUCUCUGAAGCGGAUCUGCUCCAGCUGAUCUCAAAUCCUGGGAUGAUGCAUCAAUAGAAAGACUAGAGGGUUGGGCGCUUACAUUUCCAUCCUCUCGCUCCAGCUAUAUCCGUGCAUAUGCCCCACUCCAGAGGGAAUGCCUCUUGCUGAACACAGGAGACAAGCCUGGCUAUGAAAUGGCCAAUGAAUUCAAGCCAUCUGCUUCAGAUUACUAGCUGAGUGACAGCUUCAUACGGGUCAAUGACUUUCAUUAUCCCAACAAGAGACUGCCAUGUGCCUGCAUGUCAAGAAUUGUCCUUCAUUUUUACACUGCUAAUUAACCAGCAAUUUCAUCCUCUGCCCAUCUGGGUAAAUUUGGGGGAAGGAUUUUUUUUUGGUGGGGGGACUUGUUUUCCAGACACUUUGGGAAAGGUCAAAUUGCAGUGUUGUUCUUGUUGAAGGAUCGUAUAGUGUCAUUAGGAAUUGGUAGGUCCCAGAGGCUCUGCUCCUGCAGGUUAUCAAAUAAUUUCUGUGCUCUCCACAUCCAGAUCUCCAAAUCUAAUGAAGGGCAUGUGUCCACAUUACUGUCAAACCUGAACAUCUCUGUCUCUGAGCCUUGCCAUGCUGCAGCAUCAGGUCUUAUGCUUCUCCUCACAAGGGAUACUUCUGGAGAGGUGACACAGGGGUGCACUGGAGCCAGGUGACAUCUGAAUUUGUGUAGUUGCAAAGAGGUCUUCAGGCCAUUCCUCCCAGCUGCCACCCUUGGCUUUUGCCUUUCAGGCUCCCUCGCUUGAUUUAUUAAGAGCUGAGGCUCACAAAAGGAGGCAGGCACCCAUGUGCACACUAUCAAAUCAGUCCAUAAAUUUCCCUUUUAACAGCUUUUGUUGUAGAGACAUCAGUCCCUUGGCUGGGAUAGGGCUUGUUAGUAAAGAGAAGGUCUUUUUUGAAACAGUUGCUAUUUAUAGCAUACAUAAACCCUGCAAAUAACCAUUGUCCCCAGUCUAUUAUUAAGAGGUUUGUCUCUUUCCUUCUUACCCCCUUUCUGCCAUCACUGGUUUGAAGCAAAAGUCUCCAUCAUCAGUGUGUGUCAUCUGAUCUCGAUACCUAUUAUAUCAAGGCUGGCUAGAUUUUCCUGGCAAAUCAGUCCUUUUAACUGGAAACAUCUUGAGCUUAGGGAUACUGCAGUAGCCUGAAGAAUGUAAAGUGAAGAUAAAUUUGACAGUAAUGAAAUCACUCCCCCCCCCCAAUAGCUGCUGUAUCCUGACCAAGUCAAAAGAAACCUCAAAGGCUCUCUGGGGUGGAAUUGUUUUUACUUUUGUGUCCUGUCCAGCACUGAACAUCUUGUUAAUGUUUAGCAAACAAUAAUCUGGGUGUGGGUGACUUGGGGAAUAUAUAACUGACAGUGUAGUCUUUCAUCUCUAGGCUGGCUUGCAGACAGUAUAUACUGAGUUUCUGAGGAUGCUGUUCCUCAGAUACUUGCUAAGUUCUUACCGUCUGUUGUCUAUUUGGUGGACCUGAAUCCUGAAAUUAAUUGUGUCUCAGAGCAGUUGUUACUGGAGUGGACAGGUGUCCACCCCUCAGAAUCAAUCACUGUACGUGGCGCUUACGAGAUUCUUUGUCAUUGUCAGUGGAAUGAACAAUAAUUGAAUGGCCACGAAGACAAACACCAUUUCACCCGAGAGUGAGAUCAUACAGUCAGAGUACAUCAGUGAAAAAUUCAGUAUGAAGGAUGCCUGCAAAAUUGCUACUUGUACCGUAGCUGUCAACUAACAACUAUCAUCUGUACAAUAUUAAAAAUCAGGAAAGGGACCUAGUGGGCCUUUACCUAAUGACCUGCAGCUAAUGUAUUUUUCUCCAUUAUUCAGUGGGGGAAAAUACAGUUUUUGUACUACAGUUAUUAUCGGUUCAACCAGGAAACAUUCCUUUAAGAAGCCCAAAUGAUGGGGAGGCAUCUGACCCUCUCAGAGUGGGAAAUGGAAAACCUGUGAACUUAGGAAAAUUGGGCUCCAUCUGAAUGGUGCUUCACAUCAUGGAGCUGUGAUCUUUGAAGGAGGAGUGUAGACACACAGAUCAGCCUUACUGCUCCUUCCCCGAUGCAGGGUGGAGACAUCUGCUUGAGUUUCUAAAGACACUUGCAUCCUCCUAGGUCAAACAAACUGGGCACAUCUACACAAGAAGUUUACUGCGCAGAAGACUAAGUAGCUGGUCAGUAAACAUCUACAUGGGUGCUGGAGUAAACUAAUUUUUUUUUAACUAAUUUUAAAAACUCCACAGCAGCGCCUGCCAACUAGCCCCGUACUGAAGCAUCCUUUUGCCCCAACCAGCCUCUCCACAGCACGUUGAAUGGGCAGGCGGUGAGCAGCCCCAGGCUGGCAGACUGACCUCCUGGGACUCCUCGCUAGCCAGAGCCGCUCUGACUCAGUUCAACAUGCUGCAGUCCCAGGCACAUCUUCAAAUGGCAAUACACUCUGGAGUAAUAAACUCCAGAGUUUAUUGCUUCGCAUUAAUUGCACAUGUAGAUGUGCCAACUGAGUACCAGAGAAAAUGCCAGGGGAGGGGAACCAUAGUAAAAUGGAGAAUAGCUGGCUCUCUGUUCCCAAAGAUGCGAUAGGACACAUGCUUGGCCCUGAGCAUUUGAAUGGGAGCCCAGAGUGCAAGCAACAAGCACCAAAAAUUGAUCCCAGGUGGCAGCUCUCCAAUCCUAGUUAAGCACAGAAGUGUUUCAGAAGAUCUAUUAAAUCAGAGAUUCUUUUACAGGUUUCAGACUCUGCCUUAAUUCCAUCAGAUUCUCCCUUCCGUCUGCUCCACAGACUUCCCUUAAACCAGGACCAUAGCACUGCCCUGUUACAGAUCUGUGGUGAUUUGAGCCAUUAAUGAGUGCAGAUACCUAGUAUUUUGAAAGUAUUCUCUCUUCAGUGAGGUAUUGAAGAGAGAGCAGGGAUGAGUGGGGGAAAGGGCUCAUGGCCAUUUUAGGCCACGAUAGUCUUAGAACUCCAGUUAUGCAGCGUGGGCCUCAGUAUGUGCUAUUUGUUACGGUAGCAAAUCAUACUGCAGACUACCUACUUCUGCAGGAUUUGGUGUUGGUGAUUCAAAGAGAAGCAUCCUUCCCUCUGAGUCAGUAUUCAACCAGUGCCCAUGCGUGUUGCCAAGAGCACUGCGCUGCUCAAGGGGCCGUCUUUUAGAUGAGAUGUAAAAGGAAGGUCCCAACUGCUCAUACUCCCACUUCUGCAGGGUUAGCUUAAUUCCAAUACCCUGCCCAGGUUCCCGUUUAAGCAAGUAUCUUAUGUUUCUCUAAAUACUCUGCAGAGCUUCACAUGAUUCUCUCUUGCACUUUCUGUGCUGUGUAUUGCAUAAAUCUUCCAAGUACUGUUAGCACCUCCCUUGCUGUAUACCAGAGGUAAUUGCAGCGGUGGUUCAAUGCGGUGUACAGUAUGCUGUGUGUGUAUUUGUAAAGUGGUUUGCGAUUCUUCAGGAGGAAAGGUGCUACAGACGUACUCAAGAUGAUUCUAUAAUGCCCAGAAAGCAGCUAGGAUUGAACCAUCAAGUGUUUGGAGGACUAUUUUUGGUGAACAGGUAACAGUCACAAAGCAAUGCUGUGUCAUUUGCAGUGAGAUACUCUGCCAUACAGCUCCUACAGCACUUACUGGGCUGCAAAGCCAGUUUUAUAAAGAGAAUUAUGUUGCCAAUUAA